CCAAACCCCGUUUCCCCACCUAAAACCUAAUACACGAAUAGAUACACGCAUAUGUAGAGGAGACGCCUGGAAAAUUUUGAGCGCAGCCUUUGCAGAAAAUCGAACCUCCAUCUCCAACGAUCGGGUUGUUUCUUCUUCAUAGAUGAGGAGCCAAAACUCAUGGCUGUCAUCCUGGGCUUCCUCAGCUAAGAACCAAACGACCCCUGUAUCUUUGCUUCACCAUUUUCAGAACAUGAGACUUCACUCAUAACUCCUAAAUAAACCCAGCUGCUCAACCUUCCAUCAACAUUAAGGUUUGAGUUUUAGAAGGCGAAAUUAUACAAGAACACUCCAGUUUCUUCUCUUGAAUUCUAGAUUUUCAUUUGUUGUGUUUUUUUUAAUGGAGUUUGUUUGAGGCCGGUUCGAUUCACAUUCCGAGUUUCGUGUUCGCGGUUUCGGUUGAAGUGUGUUUCAUUCUGCUGUUUGGUUUAGUUCGUCACUGGGAUUUACAUUUUUCAGAUCCUUGUCGCUGAAUGUAUUAGACUCAUGUUUUGAUAUGAAAAGUUUUGUCAUGGGGUUCAAUUGAAUUUCAAAGUUUUUUGUGGCUUCUUCUGAUUUCAAUGGAGACGAGUUAAAUUCUGCUCGUGUCGGAGUUGUUUUGAGUGUUUGUCGUUGAUCGGGGUUCGUUCGUGGCUGUUAAUUUCCAUUUUAUUUCUCUGGGCUAUGGUUUGCGUUGGAUUGUUACUGCCGGAUUCUUUUGUAAUCUGCUGAAGAAUUAACUGAAAGUUCCGACAUGUUCGUCUUCUACUUCUCCUUGCUUUAUUAACUGAAGAUGUUUGUGAGCUAGUUAAUAUAUUAAUCUGUGAUGCCGAUUUCUGGUGAAUUUAUUGAAUCUCCAUUCGUUUGGUGUGUUUGAUUGAAGCUCGUCCAGUUAUGAGAUUGGAAAGAGCAAACUGUGCUCAAAAGUUGAAUAGUUUCAACUUAUCCGAAAAGAAGGUUAUAAAGAUUUGAAUAAUUUCCUAUGGAAAGAUAAUGGUGUUUAGACUCAAUCGAAUGUUGUUAUGCGUAGGUGAUCAUUCUGUUAGCUGAGCAAUUUAGCCUAUAUAGACUACGAUCUCGUAUUCUCCUAGGUUGUUAGCCUUUCUUUGCUAUUUAUCAUAUUAUGGUGUUGAUCGAAAUACAAUGAUAGUUGAGAUUCCGUUAGAGUGAAAAUGAUGAAGAGUGGGUUUAUAUGGUACCCGUAUGUGAUGCAAAUUAUUAUUGGGAAUUCUGUUGGUUUCCAUUGAUUUUGGGCAUAUCUUCCUUGUCGAUUAGGUUUGUGUGCUACCUACUGUUUCCUUGAGUUUUCUUUAUUCAAAUUAUGUUCUUGAGUUAUUACUUUUAUUUGAAAUUGAAUGAAACAGUAGAUGGGCAUUUGGUUUUGGUUUGUGUUCAAUGGGAGUUGACUGAUUUUAAACAGCCAUUUUGUGGCCUUAUGUUUAGAAAUCGAUUAGUUCUAUUAAAAUUAGACCCACGGGUGCAAAGUUUGAAAAGUCUUGUUGUAUUUUAUUGAUAUUUUGAAAGAUAAAUGUUAUGUCAUUGCUAAAUGGUAUAUGGUAGUACUGAGUGUUGGUGAUAAUUGUGAAGAUAUGUUGAAGAGAUAGCACAUUAGUAUUUGUGGAAUUUGAG
This 1647-nucleotide long non-coding RNA is filed under the name Nicotiana benthamiana. RNAcentral describes it as "long non-coding RNA (NBEN_LNC033554)". Lineage: Eukaryota; Viridiplantae; Streptophyta; Magnoliopsida; Solanales; Solanaceae. The record is from RNAcentral.